RNAcentral lists this ribosomal RNA (432 nucleotides) under uncultured bacterium. RNAcentral's name for it is "partial 16S ribosomal RNA". It matches the Rfam family "Bacterial small subunit ribosomal RNA", at positions 29 to 507 of the family's 1533-position model. The record is from RNAcentral.
AACGAACGCUGGCGGCAUGCCUAACACAUGCAAGUCGAACGAUGCCUUCGGGCAUAGUGGCGCACGGGUGCGUAACGCGUGGGAAUCUGCCUUUCGGUUCGGAAUAACUCAGGAAACUUGAGCUAAUACCGGAUAACGUCGCAAGACCAAAGAUUUAUCACCGAAAGAUGAGCCCGCGUAGGAUUAGCUAGUUGGUGAGGUAAAGGCUCACCAAGGCGACGAUCCUUAGCUGGUCUGAGAGGAUGAUCAGCCACACUGGGACUGAGACACGGCCCAGACUCCUACGGGAGGCAGCAGUGGGGAAUAUUGGACAAUGGGCGAAAGCCUGAUCCAGCAAUGCCGCGUGAGUGAUGAAGGCCUUAGGGUUGUAAAGCUCUUUUACCCGGGAAGAUAAUGACGGUACCGGGAGAAUAAGCCCCGGCUAACUCCGUG